This is a non-coding RNA of Trichonephila clavata, 66 nucleotides long. The record is from the annotation of a GenBank genome assembly. Lineage: Eukaryota; Metazoa; Arthropoda; Arachnida; Araneae; Nephilidae.
GUUCCUGUGGCCUAAUGGAUAAGGCGUUGGACUCCGAAUCGAAGGGUUCAAGUCCCACCAGGAACA